AGCAGCCGCGGUAAUUCCAGCUCCAAUAGCGUAUAUUAAAGUUGCUGCAGUUAAAAAGCUCGUAGUUGAAUUUCGGGGUCAGUGAGUUGGUCGUGCCACUGGUAUGCACUGGCUUUACUGAUUCCUCCUUCUUGAAGAACUGUAAUGCUAUUAAUUUAGUGUUGCAGGGAAACAGGACUGUUACUUUGAAAAAUUAGAGUGUUUAAAGCAGGCUAACGCUUGAAUACAUUAGCAUGGAAUAAUGAAAUAGGACGUUUGAUCCUAUUUUGUUGGUUUCUAGGAUUGACGUAAUGAUUAAUAGGGAUAGUUGGGGGCAUUAGUAUUCAAUUGUCAGAGGUGAAAUUCUUGGAUUUAUUGAAGACUGACUACUGCGAAAGCAUUUGCCA
Molecule: ribosomal RNA, 386 nt
Filed under: uncultured Glomeromycotina
Lineage: Eukaryota; Fungi; Glomeromycota
Description: SSU rRNA
Rfam family: Eukaryotic small subunit ribosomal RNA
Source: RNAcentral